CCCCGCGCCCAAGAUGGCCGCGCCCAUGUGCCGCCGCGGAGGCAGCAGGCACGACUACCGGUUUCUUAUGCUGAGGAUCUAAAGAAAGAGGAAAGCGUGGCUUUGGAAGAUGGAGGGGCGGGAACUCCCCAGGGAGCACAGCAACAAGGAGGCCCGGCCGCGCGGGAGAACGGACUGGGAGAGCGGGCCUCGGCCUCGGAGGCGGCGGACUCGGAUCGCCACGACAGUCCGCGCGGAGCCCGCUCGCCUCCCGCCGCCCGAGACGCCUCCCCAGCCUCUCGUACGACUCGUCGCGGAAAAUGCUCGCACGCUCUCGUCGCUCCAUCUAACCUCAGAGGGAACCACGUCAGAAUCCUUUGUCCCCGAAAGGCGCCGUGUUGUUGCCCAUUGGCUGUGUUGCCCCCCGCCCCCAAAGCCCGCUCCUGCGCGUGCACAGCGCUCGGGCUCCCGGGGCGACGGCGAGCGGAAGUGCUCUGCUGACCCCGAGGGCGGUGCGAGUUGACGCUUGCGGUUGUUAUCUGCCCUGAGACCUCGGGUUCCAGGAGGCAUAGAAUUCCUGAGAGAAAGGAGAUGUCAGGUUGUUAACGGCUUCCGAGGAGAUGUCUUUAAACACAAGUCAUAAAUCUGUCCAGGAAGAGAAAAUAAAUUCACGUGGAAAACCCACAGGAUCUUAGCCGUGUCCCAGGGGAACAGGCUGGAGCUACCAGGCCACGUGUCCAGAUCAUCCCCGCUGUGGGGCAAGAGUGAUUGUUAUUAAGCUGGUGAUGGUGGUCUCAUGGCUGUAGGCACUGAUCUCGACCCUCCUAAUUCUGCCUUCGUAGAUCUCCAUCCUUUGUCAGGGCAGAGCCAGAUGGCCGUGUCCCAGGGAACCUUGACCUUCAGGGACGUGUUUGUGGACUUCACCCUGGAGGAGUGGCAGCAGCUGGACGCCACUCAGAAGAACCUCUGCAGGGAUGUCAUGCUGGAGAACUACAGCCACCUGGUCUCCGUGGGUGAGGGACCCUCCACAGGGUGACUGGAACGCACCCCCUCAUGUCUCCCUCUCUCUCGGCUGCUGCAGCUCAGGGGCGUCUGGGCCCUGAAUGAGUCGGGCCUCAGGCUCACGGUCAAG
Long non-coding RNA from Eubalaena glacialis (North Atlantic right whale), 1111 nucleotides. RefSeq lists it as uncharacterized. The record is from RefSeq and is a predicted model, not a curated record. Lineage: Eukaryota; Metazoa; Chordata; Mammalia; Artiodactyla; Balaenidae. The transcript has 3 exons.